CAGGGACCCACUUCCCUCCCUCUUCUCUUCCUCAUGUUGCUUUAUUCCAGUGGCUGGACAGCAAGCCUUGGAGAGGCUCUCUUGCUGCUGCUCACCACUCCACCAUCUUUCCCUCUCUCCCCCAAUUUCAGGUACUUCUGUCUGACAUCUUUCUGAGGAUUCCAUAUUCUUGUUGAAUCUGUCAUUCAAAUUUUGAACUGUUUUGGUUAGCUCAUCCAGUUAUUUACUUAUUUACCCAAAAUUCACUGUGGGCAGAUUGAGUAUAAUUGCUGUAAACUUUUAAUUCAUUUCCUCUUUGAACAUUUCUGUUAGUUGGUCUUUGUUUUUUCUCCCUUUGUGACCUUUUGCUCUGCGUUGGAGGAGUUUGGGUGGUGGUGGUCGGAGAUCUUCUAUUUCUGUGUUUCCCUGUUCUCCUACUUGUGUCUGUAUUUAUUUGUUUAUGUAUCUGUGUCUAUAUAUCCCUUUUGGAAGCACUGAGCUACAUCCCUGGCCCAACUGUUUAUUGUUCGUAGCUGCUCUGCAGUGAGGCGGGAGAGGUGAGGUGGAGGAUGCGGGUGUCUGCAGGGGUAGUGUUAGGCGCUAAGGAAGAGGUUUGAAACGGAGACGAGUGGUAGAUGAAAAGAAAAGAUACAUCAAGAGUCCGAUUUUAUUGGAGUACUUUUAGCUGAGUUGAUGGUUCAGUAUUACGAGUUUUCAGAGCAUAUUCUGUGUGGGCAAGGGUGAGAUAUAGGAGCAAGGGGCUUCACUUUGAGAUUAAGGAAAGCUAUGUGGUUAUCAGAACUUGCAUAUAGGGAAGACAGUAAACUAGGGAAGAUAUGAAAGAGCCAAAGGCUUAGGAUGGGGAGGAUCAAGGAAUUAUACUAGUGAAGAUAGGCGUGACUGUGAGGGAGCUGAGCACAGUGAAUUUAAAAACUUGGAAGGAGGAGUUUACAUGUUUGGAAAAAUAAUAAAGGUAUAUGUUAAUAACAUUGUCUCUGGGCAUUGAAGUGAAGAAACUAGAUAAAGAGCUGAGAUGAAGGAGAGAACCUAGACACCUAUUGAAAUCAGGGCCAAUGAAAGAAUAAAUAUACAAGAGUAGCAACCUAAUAUACACAUGGAACCAUGAAAGACAUAACCCCACUUUACUAAAUAACUCAAGAAACAUAAAAAACUUAAACCAAGAAGAUGUCUGAUGGGAACACAGAUUAGAUAUUCCAAUGAGACACUGCACGUGAUUCUCAAGCAGCUUCUUUGCCAGAGAGUCUGAGUGCUCACAUCCCAAUUAUUCCUCCGAUCACUCCACUGCAAUACUGAAGUUAACUCAGAGUCAAGACCUCUUUCUGCCACAUUGCAAGCAUCCUUGCACAGUGUGAUCCAGACUGAGUUCUUGGGUUAGGAACUUGUUGACCUCCUCGCUGGGUAUGAUGGUGGAUUCAGUAGACAAGUUCACCGGCACUAAAUUGUCCACUGAGUCAAGAUUAUUCCUCUGCAAUCAAUUCAACAACAGCAGUAAUGGGCUAAUCCAUUGCAGUGGUAUCUAUGAAGGAUAGUUGAGGAAUAACAUACCAUAACACCCUGUUUGGGGUCACCCUUUACCAGUAGGAACAUGGCACCAAUAUGAGCCUCCAACACUGUGUAACUCAGGCUGAAACUGACAUCUGACCACAGGAACUGAGUCUAUGAUCAUCAGUUCCUGCCUCAGUUCCAGACACAGGAUUUCCCCCAGUCUGCUUUCCAACUGCCACUGUUCCAGAAAUCUCAGAGAGAAAUACACGGAGACACAGAAUUUGGAUAAAAUAAUAAAAUUUCUUCUCGCGAGCAGGUGGGAAAGCCAGAAUCCGGUCUGGCUAGUGUCCGUUCCCUUUGUUCAGUGUUUCCCUUUUUAAAUACUUUUUAGCCAUUAUCUCAUCCCUAGUGGUCUUUGAUGUGUAAGUACAAUCCCAGUUCCCAUUCACAAGUCACAGACACAAGAUACAUUGUAAAUUCACCCUGGCAUGGUAACUUUGUAAGCUUAAUGAAGUUACCGGUUAGAGUCAGAUAAUCGUCACCUUAAACAAGUAGUUAUGGGAAAAGCAAAUCUUAAAAGAACACAUUACUUAUUUUGCUUCUACAACUACCUUAAUAUUCAGUCUGUUAAGUUAUCUGAAACUUUUCCGUAUCACCGCCUACCUCCUAUGACUGUCCUUCCCUCAUCCACUCUGAGAAUUUGGCAAGGCGAAGUGGCCAAUGGGCUGUUCUGGAACUGAGGUUCCAACAGCCAGCCUUUCCCUGCAAUGGCAUCCUUGCCAACUCCUGCUCUGUGUGGCUGCGUCCUGAGGCACGUGUACCACAGUCACUCACUAACUGUUGACUCUAGAGGGCUGCUUGGGAAGCAGUCUUAUGUUCUUCCCAACUGCCUCAACUGUGUCAGAGUCUCUUGGUCCCUACGCAGUUCUCUGUGAGCAGAGAAGUUAUUAGCUUCACGUUGCCUCCCAGCUGGCAGCCAGCCAGCCGCCCUCUGGUGUUGUUUUGCCAUGUGGGCCACCUCUUCUGUAUCGCUUAGUUCUAUUUUCUUCUCCUCUGUCAGUUCCCUCAAGGUUCCUGUGUCCUUCCCCUCACUGUUUCCUCUCCGAGCCACUGCCCAGACUCCAGACCCUUUGUCCUGGGGAAGCAAAGCUGCUGGCCCUUGCUGCUCGGCCAUCUAGUGGAGGUCACUCUGAAUCUUUCUUUUUAUAAGGGCAUAAAGCUAUGUAGAUUUUCUUCUAUAACUUUUCAAAUUUUGCAUUUCAAUUAAUGAACUUUCUUUAGUGACAUUUUGAACUCAUUAUAUAAUUUGUGUCCAUGCAUUUUUUUUCUCUCAAGGAUUCCAAAUGGUUCACUUUUUCCACAGUUCUGUAUCUAUUUGUGGAACAGACUCCUCUCUCCAUUAAGUGGCCUCUGACAAAGUCAGUUGAUCUUAUUUAUUUGGGUCUACCUUGGGCUAUGAAUUCUGCUCUAUGUAGCUACUGUUCUGUUCCUUCCCCAGUACCACACUCUUAUUACUGAGCUUUACAAUAAGUGCUCAGUGUAGAUUCUUGAAUUCUUCUUUUUCAGUCUUAUACCAUACAUUCUGCUUUUAGAACGAGUACGUUGCUGUGAUAGUUGUGGUGUCACUUUGAAUAAGAAAUGCCUAGCAGAUUGGUUUAGCACAGUUCUGGGUGUGUCUGGAUGAUUGACUUACUGAAGAGGAAAGACCCAACCUUGGGUGUGGGUGGCACUGACCAACAAGGUUAUGGCCUAGAUGGAAUAAAAAGGGAAAGAAGGAAGCCUUGCUUCUGCUUCUAAGGAGCUCCAGUCUUUGCUGUUGCCUUUGGACAUCCAUCUUCAGGCUUCCAGGGCAGACUCUUUAGCCUUCUAAUGCAGACCCCUAGGGUUCUCUGUGUGGACUCACAUGGGACUCUGAAGUGAGCUCCAUGCCUUUGACUUUUUUUCUCAGCUAUGUUUAUUUUUCCUUUAUUUUUAAAUUGAUUUUAUUGGUAUAAUUUAAAUAUAUAUAAAUAGCACAUUCAUCAAAGUGAAUUUGUACCUGUAUAUGGUAUAUCUUGAUUCCUCUUUUUUCCCAAUCCCUUCCCCUUUAUUCCACUUCCCUCCCCUCCUUAUUUAUGAAAACUUUGUUUCCAUUUUUUCCUUCUUUUCUCAUUUUUUUCUUUUCCCUUCCUUUUUUUCCUGCCCCUCUUUAGUUUCCCUUUCCUUUUGAAUAAUUGCUUCCUAUUUCACAUUAUCUAUUAUACAUUUUGGUCUUUAUUUAUCCUUUCAGUUUCUCACACCAGAGAGACAAUGUGAUAUUUACACUUGUCCGAUUUAUUUCACUUAAGGGUGUGGUCUCAAGGUGCAUCCAUUUAGCUAGAAAUGUCUCAAGUUUGUCUUUCUUUAUGGCUGAGUAGUACUCCAUUGUAUUAAAAAAACACAUCUUUUUUAUCCAUUCAUUCGUUGAUGGGCAUUUGGGUUGUUUCCAAGAUUUAGCUAUUACAAACUGUCACUCUAAACAUGGGUGUGCAUAUAUUGCUGUGGUAUGAUUCUUUUAAUUCUUUCAGGAAGAUCCCCAGCAGGGGAGUGCCUUUGACUUUUGACUGGGUCCUCCAGCUCUCCAGUGCAUAGACAGCCCUUUUGCAUUCUUCCACCCCUGACUCUGCAGGCAGCCAUUGUAAGCCUACCGUGUCAAUAUCUAGUAUCUAUCAUCUAUCUCAUCUAUUUCUCUAGUGAGCCCUAACUGAUAGUUGGCAUCUUUGGUGGGAAUUUGAUUGGGAUUCUGCUGGAUCUAUAGAUCAAGUUAGAGGAAUUGUCAUAAUAACAAAAAUGAUUGUACGCUUGAAUCAGUCAAUGUUUCUAGAGAAACAGAUAUAACACAAGAUCUAAAAAUAUAUAUGGAUUUACAAGAUUGGCUUAUAAGGGCCAACCAUAGAGUUGGAUGUGGAAGAGCGCAGAGGGUCUUUCUGCAUGCUAGAUACCAAAGGAUUCAGUGGAAGGUCUGGAGCUCACUUCAGUGUCCUGUGUGAGUCUCUAUCAGGAGGCCAAUGGGGUCUGUGAUGGAGGUUUGAAGAGUCUAUGCCGGAAGCCUGAAGGAUCUGCACCAGAAGCUGAAGAAUCUGCACAGGAAGCCAGGAAAUGACAUCCAAGGUAAAUGCAAAGACUGGAGCUCCUCUGAGGAAACAGAAGCAGAUCCAUCUUUCAUUUCCCCUUUAUACCGUCUAGGCGACAAGCUGCCCUAGGGCGUGGAAUUGCUGAACCAGUGUAGUUGGGCUGCUCUUACUCAAGUUAACACAGUCAGUCAACCAGUGCACUGCUGCUAAACAAAGGGUAUCUCUGCAUUUAUUUAUGUUUCCUUUGCUUCCUUUUACCCAUGUUUCAGUUUUCUGAAUGCAUAUUUGUAUAUACAGAAUCUGCCGCAAAAUGUCUACAUCGGGAAAAGAAAAAGUCGAAUAAAUAUUUUAAUACUGAGUUUACGGAGAGACCAUGAGGUUCGUGCAAAUUUGCCUCUCCAUUUAUAAGAGGUGCUCAAAGUGGUGGGCAUUGGCAGCGUUUGUGGUUAGAUUCCAGCUCUUCAGGCUCUAGGACGGGAUGUAUUAUACAUGAUGUUUAAACUCCUCAUUUCCAUCCCUCUUUUCCCCACCUCCCUCCUCUCCUUUCCAUUUCUCUUUUGUUUUCUCCCCUGAGGGACAGGUACCGAACCCUGGGCCUUGUGCAUCCCAGUCAAGCCUUCCAUCACUGAGCUGUGCCCCAGCCCAUUUUAAAAGCUGCUGCAGGUCUAUCUUGCAGAAUAGCGAUGUCCAUUCUGGGCACUCAGUAGGUGUAUACGCCACGUUCCGCUCAUUUUCAGUUCCUCUGCUUCCUCUUUCCCCCUUCCCUUGAUUCUCUUUCCUGUCUCCAAGAGUCCACCUUCUUAAAAAUUUUAGCCGGGCGUGCUGCUACUUGCCUGUAAUCCCAGGGCUUGGGAGUCAGAGGCAGGAAGACUGCAGUGAGUUCAAGGUCAGCCUGCGCCUCAAAGUAAGACCCUGUCUCAAAAACCCAAAAAUUAAAAAAUAAUUCCACUCGUUCCUAUAUUGUGGAUCUGUAGGUCAUCAAUUGACUUUUGUCUUCUGGACUUCUACUUUGGUUCUGGUUAUCUCUAUCAUUUAUUUUGUGUUGCUAUAACUGAGGACUUUAGACUAAAGUAAUUAAUAAGUAAAGUAAGCGUUUGUUGUUGUUUUUUUUUUUGGUACGGGGAAUCGAACUUGGUUCCUUGCGCUUGCUUGCGCAGCAGGCGGCGAAACCACUGAGCUAAAUCCCUGGCCCAAGUAAGUGUAUUUUUACAAUUCUGGAUACUAGAAAGUCCAAGGUUGAGGUACUGCCUCUGUUAAGGAUCUACUUGCUAGUAGGGACUGAGCCCUGAAGUGGUGCUCAAUGUAAUUGGUGAGAAAAAUUGUGCCAGAGAAAGCUUGCUUUUAUAACAAAACCACUCCCUUGAUACCUUGUUGAUCCAUUAUUUAUGAAUGUGUUCAUUCUUUUUUUUUGUACUGGGGAUUGAACUCGGGACCUUGCGCUUGCGAGGCAGGAGGUGGAACCACUGAGCUAAAUCUCCAUCCCCGAAAGUAUUCAUUCUUAUUAGCAGAGCCCUUAAAACGAAAUCACCUCCCAAAGUUUCCAUUAGAAUAUGACUUUGGGGGUGAAGUCUGCACCUCAUGAAUUCUAUUUUUGUUUUGUUUUAAGACAGGGUCUUCCUAUGUAGCUCAGGCUGGCCUUGAAGCCUUUGGAAUGCCAGGAUUACAGGCGUGGGCCACCAUACCCAGCUAUACCACUUGAAUUCUGGAGAAUGAACUUUUCAAUCCACAGCACCACCCAUUCAGAUCAGGGCAUGGUGGGCUCUAUUUCAGUUUCCAUGUCCAAAGUUAUGAUAUUUAGGAGUGGGUGCAAUCCUGCUAAACAGUGCCAGGGACUGCCCUGUGUUGAGCCCCAGAGCCUCCUUCUCCAGGGGCCCCAGUGUACUGGCCCCUCAUGGUCAUCAGCAUCCACAGUGAGGACCGAGCCUUCUACUCCUCCUUGGGACUGGCCCUGGAGACACCCUGGCAGCUUCCUGAUGAAGGGGCCCACAAAGGAGGAAAAGUACUUAUGUUAAAUCAUGUCAUCAGUUCCUGCUGUGUCAGAUCUGCAAGAGGCCCUGUGUACUAGGUAGGGUUCCCUCGUGUCAACUCUCCACAGGAGCCUAUGGACAAUGACAUGGGAGGUGCAUGAGUCAAGUCUGGGUUCAGGGGCUGUGUGUGCUUGGUAUGUGACGAGAGGGGAUCUAGCUGAGCAGUGUGUUGCUGGAGUGCAGCCUUGGGUCUAUACCAUGCCUCCUUCUUUUUCUUUUUGCUUUUUGGCCACCAUGAAGUGAGCAGCCGCCUCUGCUACAUGUUCCCAUUACCACUGUCCUCUGCUUCCACUCAGGAUCAAAGCAACAGAGCCAACUGAUCGUGAUGAAACUCCUGAAACCAUGAGCCAAAAUAAACAUUUCCUCCUGUAGAUUACUUUUCUCAGGUAUAUUACACAGCGACAGAAAGCUAACACAGAUGGAUCAUUUAUAUACUACUAAAAAUGGAAUUAAAUAAGAAAUGUGCCUAAGAAUGUUCAUAAAGCCUUCAGUCAUAAUGACCAAACUAGGAAGUAGCCCAGAUGUCUUUCAAUAGUAAAAUGGGUGAAGAAAUUGAAAUGCAUGCAUACAAUAGAAUACUAUUCAGCACUACAAAAGUCCAAACUUUGUAGUACAUACGCUGUGUGAAUCUCCCAAACUGUUCUGUUUUGUUUUGUUUUCUGGUACCAGGGAUCAAACUCUGGACCUUGUGUUUGCGAGGUAGGCGCUGGAACCAGUGAGCUACAUCCCUGGCCCAGUCUUGCAAACUUUGUAGGGAGGGAGGUGGCUGGGCAAAAAUAAUAUAUAUUGUCUGAUUGUAAGCAAAGGAACCCAUGGUGAGAAGAGUCACAGCAGUAACUCUCAUCUGUGAGCACAAAAAAUGCCAGAAAGGAACACAAGAUAAUUUUCUAGAGAAGAUGAAAGUAUUCUUAAAAGUAGCGAAGAUUUUACGGGUGUAUUUGUUAAAGUGAUACAGUUACAAUUUAUGCGUUUCAAUAUACAUGUGUACUUCUGGGCACAGAAAAAAGAAAAGAACUUUAAAAAUUAAGUUUUGGAGAUAGUGAAUAAGUUGAAGGUUAGAGAAACAAAAACUAGCACAUGGUUAGUAAUUAUUGAAGCUGAGUGACAGGUCUAUUAUUCAAUUUAUUUUAUGUACUUUUAAUAUUUUUUGUAAUAAAACACUUGUAUAAAAAGUCUAAAUUGGCCAGGUGUGGUUGUGCACGCCUGUAAUCCCAGCACUUGGGAGGCUGAAGCAGGAGGAUUGCCACAAGUUUGAGGCCAGCCUGGACUACACAGUGAGUUCAAGGCUAGCCUGAGCUACAUACAAAACAAAAACAACAAAAUCAACUACAAAAAAGUCCAAGUUGAUCUACGAUGUUACCUUGUAGAGAGAAGCUGCUCCAUUUCCUGGUUGUGUAAGUGUGUUCACUUUGUAAUAUUUGCAGUAUUGUACUCUACACAAAUGCUUUGUCCAUGCAUUUCUAUAUG
RNAcentral lists this long non-coding RNA (8071 nucleotides) under Heterocephalus glaber (naked mole-rat). RNAcentral describes it as "lncRNA (ENSHGLG00000041579.1)". The record is from RNAcentral. Lineage: Eukaryota; Metazoa; Chordata; Mammalia; Rodentia; Bathyergidae.